Molecule: ribosomal RNA, 543 nt
Filed under: uncultured bacterium
Lineage: Bacteria
Description: bacterial SSU rRNA
Rfam family: Bacterial small subunit ribosomal RNA
Source: RNAcentral
UGAGGAAUAUUGGUCUNUGGGCGAGAGCCUGAACCAGCCAAGUAGCGUGCAGGAUGACGGCCCUAUGGGUUGUAAACUGCUUUUAUGCGGGUAUAAAGGAGCAUACGUGUAUGUUUUUGCAGUUACCGCAUGAAUAAGGACCGGCUAAUUCCGUGCCAGCAGCCGCGGUAAUACGGAAGGUUCUGGUGUUAUCCGGAUUUAUUGGGUUUAAAGGGAGCGCAGGCUGUCAGAUAAGCGUGUUGUGAAAUGCGGUUGCUCAACAUCCGCACUGCAGCGCGAACUGUCUGACUUGAGUACGCACGACGUUGGUGGAAUUUGCCGUGUAGCGGUGAAAUGCUUAGAUAUGGCGAAGAACUCCGAUUGCGAAGGCAGCUGACGGGAGCGCUACUGACGCUCAUGCUCGAAAGUGCGGGUAUCGAACAGGAUUAGAUACCCUGGGUAGUCCGCACGGUAAAACGCUGGAUGCCCGCUAUAUGCCCCUUAGGGUAUGUGGCCAAGUGAAAAACGUUAAGCAUCCCACCUGGGAAGUACGCCGGCACGGUG